GUAGGUGGCAAGCGUUGUCCGGAAUUAUUGGGCGUAAAGCGUGCGCAGGCGGUUCUUUAAGUCUGAUGUGAAAGCCCACGACUCAACCGUGGAGGGUCAUUGGAAACUGGAGAACUUGAGUACAGAAGAGGAAAGCGGAAUUCCACGUGUAGCGGUGAAAUGCGUAGAGAUGUGGAGGAACACCAGUGGCGAAGGCGGCUUUCUGGUCUGUAACUGACGCUGAGGCGCGAAAGCGUGGGGAGCAAACAGGAUUAGAUACCCUGGUAGUCCACGCCGUAAACGAUGAGUGCUAAGUGUUAGGGGGUUUCCGCCCCUUAGUGCUGCAGCUAACGCAUUAAGCACUCCGCCUGGGGAGUACGGCCGCAAAGGCUG
Molecule: ribosomal RNA, 372 nt
Filed under: uncultured organism
Description: partial 16S ribosomal RNA
Rfam family: Bacterial small subunit ribosomal RNA
Source: RNAcentral